AUUGAACGCUGGCGGAAUGCUUUACACAUGCAAGUCGAACGAUGAGAUCUAGCUUGCUAGAUCGAUUAGUGGCGAACGGGUGAGUAAUGUAUCGGAACGUAUCCAAUAAUGGGGGGAUAACUAAUCGAAAGGUUGGCUAAUACCGCAUACGCCCUACGGGGAAAGCAGGGGAUCUUCGGACCUUGCGUUAAUGGAGCGGCCGAUAUCUGAUUAGCUAGUUGGUGAGGUAAAAGCUCACCAAGGCGACGAUCAGUAGCUGGUCUGAGAGGACGACCAGCCACACUGGAACUGAGACACGGUCCAGACUCCUACGGGAGGCAGCAGUGGGGAAUUUUGGACAAUGGGCGAAAGCCUGAUCCAGCCAUUCCGCGUGAGUGAAGAAGGCCUUCGGGUUGUAAAGGACUCUUUCGUCAAGGGAAG
Molecule: ribosomal RNA, 420 nt
Filed under: uncultured bacterium
Lineage: Bacteria
Description: bacterial SSU rRNA
Rfam family: Bacterial small subunit ribosomal RNA
Source: RNAcentral